AUGGCUGCCAUGAAGAUCACCCUCCUCGCCGUGGCCGCGAUGGCCGUCUUACUAGGCACCGCGUCAGCGGUAACCUACAACGUCGGCGAUCAGGGCGGUUGGACCCUUAGCACCGACUACAGCAGCUGGGUGUCCGGCAAGAAGUUCAACGUGGGUGAUGACAUCGUCUUCAAGUACUCGACCCCGGCGCACAACUUGGUCGAGGUCAGCAAGGCCGGCUACGACUCCUGCAGCACCGACGGCGCCAUCAACACCUUGGCCUCGGGCAACGACGUCAUCACCCUCAACGCCACCGGCACCCGAUACUUCAUCUGUGGCGUCCCUAGCCAUUGCAGCCCCACCGCCGCCGCCAGCAUGAAGGUCGUGAUCGACGUCGCCUCGGGCUCCUCCUCGCCGUCGUCACCCAUGCCAGCUGCAGGUCCUGGCGCGAGCAACUCUCCCCCGGCGCCGCCCUCCAACGCCGCUACCUCCGUCGGUGCCACAGCAGGAUUUGGCCUCGUCGCCCUACUGGCGGCCGGUCUCAUGGCUUGA
RNAcentral lists this ribosomal RNA (531 nucleotides) under Triticum aestivum (bread wheat). RNAcentral describes it as "partial small subunit ribosomal RNA". Lineage: Eukaryota; Viridiplantae; Streptophyta; Magnoliopsida; Poales; Poaceae. The record is from RNAcentral.